CAUUUUGAUCUGAAAAAACACUAAAGAAUGAGUAUUUCUUCUCAAGAACGAACACCACAAAGCCUUUCCUCAUCUAUUCAGAACCUCAUCUAUUCAGAACCUCAUCUAUUCAGAAUUUAAAUACAUUAUUUAAGAAGAGACAAGGAAAAAAAGAUGGAGGGAUGAUUUUUGUGCCAUUUCAGGGUGACAGAAAAGGAAACAAGAAGAGCUGGAAUUGACCUGGAUCCUUGUGGGAAAUAUUCAGUGAUGGAUGGAAGCAGAGGGAGAAAGGACCAAAAUGAAGCCAGGAGGGACAAGAUGGCUGGAAUGUUUGGUUCUGAGGAUUCAUGAUUGUCCUUAACUCACGCGAACUGAACUCUCGCUUGCCUGUCUUCCUGGGGCUUGUGUAAGAACAUCCUACAGAAAAAUAUUAACAACGCAAGUGAUCUUCACUGUGUUUAAUGAUUCAUUGAUUGUAAAAGAUGUUUUACCUGGGAUAACAAUGAGUGUGUAUUCCUGGAGCCUAAACUCACUGACCUGGAAGGGGGCCCCGAGAAGUGUGCUAAGUGGACAAAGGAAGCCUGGCUAGAGUUUAUAUUUUUCUAACUAGAUAAUUGAGUGAACUAAAAGGUCUUUUAUUAUCCUUAUGUGGAUUACGUACUUUGCAGGAUAUGCAUAGUCAUUAUUAAAACCA
Molecule: long non-coding RNA, 673 nt
Filed under: Pan troglodytes (chimpanzee)
Lineage: Eukaryota; Metazoa; Chordata; Mammalia; Primates; Hominidae
Description: lincRNA
Source: RNAcentral